CCUACGGGGGGCAGCAGUGGGGAAUAUUGCACAAUGGGGGAAACCCUGAUGCAGCGAAGUCGCGUGAGCGAGGAAGUCUCUAGGUAUGUAAAGCUUCAUCAGCCGGGACGAAAAAAGACGGUACCUGACUAAGAAGCACAGGAUAACUACGGGCCAGCAGCCGCGGUAACACGCAGGGGGCAAGCGUUAUACGGAUUUACUGGGUGUAAAGGGAGCGUAGGCGGCAAGGAAGGCCAGAAGUUAAAGGGCAGGGCUCAACCCUUGACAUGCCUUUGAAACUGUGGUGCUAGAGUGCAGGAGAGGUAAGUGGAAUGCCUGGUGUAGCGGUGAAAUGCGUAGAUAUUAGGAGGAACACCAGUGGCGAAGGCGGCUUACUGGACUGUAACUGACGUUGAGGCUCGAAAGCGUGGGUAUCAAACAGGAUUAGAUACCCCUGUAGUC
RNAcentral lists this ribosomal RNA (441 nucleotides) under uncultured bacterium. Its description in RNAcentral is "partial 16S ribosomal RNA". It matches the Rfam family "Bacterial small subunit ribosomal RNA", at positions 338 to 795 of the family's 1533-position model. The record is from RNAcentral.